This 371-nucleotide unclassified non-coding RNA is filed under the name uncultured fungus. RNAcentral describes it as "sequence contains ITS1". The stretch from base 1 to 105 matches the Rfam family "5.8S ribosomal RNA", at positions 50 to 154 of the family's 154-position model. Lineage: Eukaryota; Fungi. The record is from RNAcentral.
UAACUGCGAUAAUUAGUGUGAACUGCAGAAACCUUGAACACAAAACUUUCGAAUGCACAUUGCGCCAUUGGAAUCAUAUCCUUUGGCACGCCUGGUUCAGGGUCGUAUUAAUAAAACGCAAGCCGUUUGCGUGUAUGCAUUUACGUGCUCAUUUGCUAUCGUCCUGUCUGUAACGUGUGCAGAUGUUCGCGUAUUACUUGUAAAGGCACAUGCUGAGUUAUUGUGCGGCGGGUGUGUGUAUCUGUUACGCUGUGUCUUUUCAGCUGAUACCCAUCUUAAAGGCUGUCUGCCUGUGCUGUGCUUUGCUCAUGUGUUGCCAUUUGAUUCAAAUUUUCGACCUGAACUCAGACGUGAAUACCCGCUGAACUUAA